GGAUAUUAAGACAUCUGCUCAUGAAAUUAAUAGCCGCAAUACUGUGCUAAGGUAGCAUAAUAAUUCGUCUUUUAAUUGAAGACUAGAACAAAAGAUAUUACAUUUUAAUUAAUAUAUCAAAUAUAUAAAAUGUAAUUUAUUUUAAAUGUAAAAAAACAUUUAUUAAAAAGAAAGACGACAAGACCCUAUUGAACUUAACUAUAGUUAGACUGGGGCAGUCAAUUAAUUAACAUUUUAAUUUUUUUUUAAAAAAAUCUAAUAUAAUUAAAAUAAAAGUUACCAUAGGGAUAACAGCGCAAUUAAUAUUAAAAGAUCUUAUAUAAAUAUUUGUUUACGACCUCCAUGUUGAAUUAAUAUCCUAAACCAGUGCAAUAAUUAAAUAAGGAAGUCUGUUCGACUUUUAAAAAAUUACAUGAUCUGAUUCCAAACCGGGAA
This 435-nucleotide ribosomal RNA is filed under the name Clubiona coreana. Its description in RNAcentral is "partial 16S ribosomal RNA". The record is from RNAcentral. Lineage: Eukaryota; Metazoa; Arthropoda; Arachnida; Araneae; Clubionidae.